RNAcentral lists this ribosomal RNA (497 nucleotides) under uncultured bacterium. RNAcentral's name for it is "partial 16S ribosomal RNA". It matches the Rfam family "Bacterial small subunit ribosomal RNA", at positions 28 to 507 of the family's 1533-position model. The record is from RNAcentral.
GAUGAACGCUGGCGGCGUGCCUAAUACAUGCAAGUCGAGCGAACAGACGAGGAGCUUGCUCCUCUGACGUUAGCGGCGGACGGGUGAGUAACACGUGGAUAACCUACCUAUAAGACUGGGAUAACUUCGGGAAACCGGAGCUAAUACCGGAUAAUAUAUUGAACCGCAUGGUUCAAUAGUGAAAGACGGUUUUGCUGUCACUUAUAGAUGGAUCCGCGCCGCAUUAGCUAGUUGGUAAGGUAACGGCUUACCAAGGCAACGAUGCGUAGCCGACCUGAGAGGGUGAUCGGCGACACUGGAACUGAGACACGGUCCAGACUCCUACGGGAGGCAGCAGUAGGGACUCUUCCGCAAUGGGCGAAAGCCUGACGGAGCAACGCCGCGUGAGUGAUGAAGGUCUUCGGAUCGUAAAACUCUGUUAGUAGGGAAGAACAAAUGUGUAAGUAACUAUGCACGUCUUGACGGUACCUAAUCAGAAAGCCACGGCUAACUACGUG